GAUUUCCUUAGUAACGGCGAGCGAAAAGGAAACUGUCCAGCGCCAAGUCUUGACACAUUUGUGCUCAAGAGAUGCGGCGUUAAUGGAUUGGCGCAUCGUACAUUGUUUCAUGUUUCAAUUUGCUUUGAAAAGUAAUUUCCAUAGCGGGUGCAAGACCCAUAGAAACGAGAAACUAGUGUAUGCCGGCCAAUUCAUUUUAGAGUCAGGUUGCUUGAGAGUGCAGCUUAAAGACGGUGGUAAACUCCAUCUAAGACUAAAUAAUACAGCGAGACCGAUAGCAAACAAGUACCGUGAGGGAAAGUUGCAAAGCACUUUGAAGAGAGAGUCAAAUAGUACGUGAAACCACUGGAAGGCAAACAGAUAGAACCACGAAGUAUGCGUCUCGGUCGAUUCAAUUGUUGUUGUUGAAUUGAGAUGUUUGUUGUUGGGUCUUUUCGGAGACUAGACAAAUGUUUUAUAUUUAAUAACAAUGAUGCAUUUCGAAUCGAGAAUGCAAAGCCACGUUCGACUAGARAGUUGAAACGACUGUAAGACAGGAUUUAAGAAAGGUGGCUGUCAAAUGCUUGCAUUUGAUAGUGUUAUAGUCUUAAAUCGGAAUCGUUUCUAACAAACUGGUCGAUAAAAAUUCUCUACGGAGUAUUAAUCGUAUUUGCCUAUGAUUGUCAAUCGGUAUUUUGUGAUUAAUUUAGCGUGUUUUCGAAUGCGAUAAAUUGUUGCAACAUUGCCGGUUAACAGUUGUUUGCACGAUACGAUAGAACUGUGGUGCGAGUAGGUCGGUUUCUAUCUGACCCGUCUUGAAACACGGACCAAGGAGCCUAUCAUAUACGCGAGUCGCUCGGUCUUGAAUAGGCCUGGAAGGCGCAAUGAAAGUAAAGCUACGAGACUUCGGUCGCAGUAGUGGCUCGCCUACUUCGUUUUUUUGGCGAUCAGGCGAAGCUGGAGCGUAUACGAUGGUACCCGAAAGAUGGUGAACUAUGCCUGGGCAAGACGAAGCCAGAGGAAACUCUGGUGGAAGUCUGUAGCGAUUCUGACGUGCAAAUCGAUCGUCAGACCUGGGUAUAGGGGCGAAAGACUAAUCGAACCAUCUAGUAGCUGGUUUCCUUCGAAGUUUCCCUCAGGAUAGCAGGCAUUUAUUUAAAUCAGUCUCAUCCGGUAAAGCUAAUGAUUAGAGGUCUUGGGGUUGAAACGACCUCAACCUAUUCUCAAACUUUGAAUGGGUGAGAUGGUUGACUUUCUUGAUUGAAGCCAACCAAUUGGAUGUGAGUGCCUAGUGGGCCAUUUUUGGUAAGCAGAACUGGCGCUGUGGGAUGAACCAAACGUCGAGAUAAGGCAUCAAAUGCAUACGCUCAUCAGACCCCAUAAAAGGUGUUGGUUGCUAUAGACAGCAGGACGGUGGCCAUGGAAGUCGGAAUCC
RNAcentral lists this ribosomal RNA (1414 nucleotides) under Trichoecius tenax. RNAcentral describes it as "eukaryotic LSU rRNA". It matches the Rfam family "Eukaryotic large subunit ribosomal RNA", at positions 73 to 1269 of the family's 3401-position model. The record is from RNAcentral. Lineage: Eukaryota; Metazoa; Arthropoda; Arachnida; Sarcoptiformes; Myocoptidae.